UACGAAGGGGGCUAGCGUUGUUCGGAUUUACUGGGCGUAAAGCGCACGUAGGCGGAUAUUUAAGUCAGGGGUGAAAUCCCGGGGCUCAACCCCGGAACUGCCUUUGAUACUGGGUAUCUUUGAGUCCGGAAGAGGUGAGUGGAAUUCCGAGUGUAGAGGUGAAAUUCGUAGAUAUUCGGAGGAACACCAGUGGCGAAGGCGGCUCACUGGGCAGAUACCGACGCUGAGACGCGAAAGCGUGGGAAGCAAACAGG
Molecule: ribosomal RNA, 254 nt
Filed under: uncultured bacterium
Lineage: Bacteria
Description: partial 16S ribosomal RNA
Rfam family: Bacterial small subunit ribosomal RNA
Source: RNAcentral